Molecule: ribosomal RNA, 750 nt
Filed under: Triticum aestivum (bread wheat)
Lineage: Eukaryota; Viridiplantae; Streptophyta; Magnoliopsida; Poales; Poaceae
Description: partial small subunit ribosomal RNA
Source: RNAcentral
AUGAUCUAUGGGUCUACUGGAGCUACCCACUUCAAUGAAUUAGCCAAGAUUUUGACCGGAUACGAAAUCGCUGGUGCUCGAUCUAGUGGUAUUUUUAUGGGUAUUCUUUUUAUCACUGUAGGAUUCCUAUUCAAGAUUACUGCAGUUCCUUUUCAGAUGUGGGCACCUGUUAUCUAUGAGGGUUCACCCACCCCGGUGAGGGCAUUCCUUUCUAUUGCGCCUAAAAUCUCUAUUUCUGCAAAUAUGUCACGUGUUUCUAUUGUUGCUUCCUAUGGGGGUACAUUACAACAAAUCUUGUUUUUCUGCAGCAUUGCUUCUAUGAUCUUAGGAGCACUGGCUGCCAUGGCCCAAACGAAAGUCAAAAGACCUCUAGCUCAUAGUUCGAUUGGACAUGUAGGUUAUAUUCAUACUGGUUUCUCAUGUGGAACCUUAGAUGGAAUUCAAUCACUACUAAUUGGUAUAUUUAUUUAUGCAUCAAUGAUGAUAGAUGCAUUCGCCAUAGUUCCAGCAUUACGGCAAACCCGUGUCAAAUAUAUAGCAGAUUUGGGCGCUCUAGACAACACGAAUCCUAUUUCGGCUAUGACCUUCUCCAUUACAAUGUUCUCAUACGCAGGAAUACCCCCGUUAGCCGGCUUUUGUAGCAAAUUCUAUUUGUUGUUCGUCGCUCUGGGUUGUGGGGCUUACUUCCUAGCCUCAGUGAGAGUAGUGACUAGCGUUAUAGGUCGUUGGGCGGCCGGAAGGUUGCCAUGA